This is a non-coding RNA of Triticum aestivum (bread wheat), 125 nucleotides long. The record is from Rfam. NCBI's taxonomy places the organism in Eukaryota, Viridiplantae, Streptophyta, Magnoliopsida, Poales, Poaceae.
AAUAUACUCCCUUUGUCCGAAAAUACUUGUCAAAGAAAUAUAUAAUAAUGAAUGUAUCUAGAACUAAAAUAUAUUUAGAUACAUCCAUUCCUCCGACAAGUAUUUCCGGACGGAGGGAGUACUUA